Long non-coding RNA from Pseudopipra pipra, 5096 nucleotides. RefSeq lists it as uncharacterized. The record is from RefSeq and is a predicted model, not a curated record. The transcript has 2 exons. NCBI's taxonomy places the organism in Eukaryota, Metazoa, Chordata, Aves, Passeriformes, Pipridae.
GCGCACCGCCCCCGGGGGAGGAGGGGGCGGCCGGGGCGGCGCUGCCCGGGCGGGAGGGGCGCGGGUGUCUCGGCCCCUCCGCACGGCGGGGGAGCCCCGAGAUGCCUCGGAAAGGUGGCAGUGGCUGCCGGUGGGCAGCGGCCGUGCUGGUGAGGUAACGGCGGAGAUGUUAAAAACGGACCUUCCCGGGACAGGAACCCUCCGGGCUGGGAACGCGCGGUCAGAGGCGGAGGCUCCACACCCCACAACCUCCGCAAAGACACGGGCCUCGCAUCAGGCUGCGCGGCUGCCCCGAGGGCAGGUACCGGGGCUCCGCUUACCGAUAUCGAGGUGUCACCUCAGCCCGGGCACGUUCCCGCCGGCUCCUGCCUUCGGAAAAUGACCCGCGUUUUUCCUAAUUUGAGCUACAGAGCGGGGAACAGCAUUAGUUCAGAUUCGUUCACCAGCCCCGCUUACACAUGGCAGUGCCCGAACCCCGUAACCGCGCUGUGCGAAACUGAGGGAAAGUUCGUUUUGGAGGGAAAAAGCAGCUGAGCAGGUACACAGUGGUCAGACAGUGAGGAGGCCUUUGCACAGAGAAGCUCCAUCUGCAAGAAGCAGAGGUGCAGCAUCUCCUUCCAGGACUGCACUGCCUGAACCAGCAAGCAAAGCAGCAAGAGGCAGAGGUGCCUGAAUUUUAGAAACUGGGGACAAGUUCACAGAGCUCUGCUUCUUUACAGUUUUGUUUGUUUGUUUGUUUUUUUAAUUUAGGGAUAGGUAACUCUUAAUCAAAAUGUAAAAUUUUAAAUUUAAUUUAUAUGGGACUGGUCUUAAUUGUCCCACUUUAAACUCUCAUUAGACAGUGACCAUGACAAAAGUAUCACUUUGUCCUGUGGAGGCUUGCUGUUCCAUUUCUUGGAGAAAAGGUACCAGUGGGCAUGCAUUUGGUCUCGGUUCCAUUGUUACUGUAAUGUAAAUUUACUUAUAAAAUUUAUUUUUGAAAUCAGCUACCACAGAAAUGCUCACUUACCUGUUUGCUAAUUUUCUGGAGUUGCCUUAAAUCCACAAGGAUGGAUCAAUUUCCCAGUGUAAGUUUCCAUUACAUUUUGAAAGAAAUAUUUAAUUAAAAGAAGCCCACUUUUCUUGUAGCUUUGACAGGGACACAUCACAACAAAGGUGGAAAUUAAAUUAACUGAGCCAUUGCUGAACUUUUAAUUCAGCAAUUAACCUGUCAAAUUUCCUCGUAUUCCCAAGCGUGUGCAACGCACAAGUUGAUACAUUGUAGUAGCAGUUCUGCAAAACAUUGGGAGAACCAGCACGAGCACAUUUCAACUGCAAAAACUUUCCCUUACUUUGUUUUGUUUCCGAAUCUAAAUCUGGCUGUUACACCAACAAUGCAACCCCAGAAAGUCGGUGGGGCCAUAACACAGAUAAAGAGAAGAUCAGCUUGUUUUACAUGACUGUCACUGAAACCAGACAGAAGAAUACCUGUGAGCACACUCCUGACAAAAAGCUAAAAGCUCUUUGAUCUAAACACUUUCUUGGUUAAAAGGUCUUUGAGCUGCAAGCAAAGAACCUAUUCUCAGCUAUUUGAUGCCCUCUAUAUUCAGGGAAACAGGAUCUUGCACAUUCUUUAUCAAUAACAGGAAUUCCAGAGAUACCUGAGCCUCCACCAUCAACCUCUCUCAAGCACACAAAACCUUGAACUUUGAUCACUCACUUCUGACAAAAGGGAUAACAGUCUGAGUUGCCCUUCUCCUUCUUUCCUUAAAAAUCCUAAAGAUAAACCAUUCACUCAGAAAAUGUGCUGUAUAGGCUACUUGAAAAUAAAACAAUGCUUCAGCUUUUGAAAGCAUUGCAAAUCCAAAGACAACUUUUAAAUGUGCUGAAGUCUAACAGCCUACUCCAAUCCCUCUGCUCAGAGCAGGCUGCCAGGCCUGUGUCCACUUGUAUAUUGAGUAUCUCCAAGGGUGGAAACUCCAACUCCACCCUCUCUCUGUGCAAUUUACACCAGUGUUUGACCACACUCACAUGGAAAAGCUUGCUCUUGUGCCUAAAUGGAACUGUAUUGUAAAGACUGGACUGAUCUAAACAGGCAAGCAUCCUCUUCCUCAGAAGAAACUACCUCUCUUCUUGCAAUUUUGAGAUUUACAGUUUCGCCCGUGUGUCAAAUGGAGCAGCCUUAACAAUGGAAUGCAAGGGGAACAGACAGUGAAAAACAAGCUUGCUGAUUGCAGCUGUGUCUGUUCUUCUUAACUUCUUUAUUUUUUAAAAUAAGUAAAUUCGAAGAACAUUUUAGAGAGUUUCCUUCAAAACUGAAACCAGAAAGAAAAUAAGAAUUUAAGUACUCACUUACUGAGACUCAAUGCUACUGGAACCUCCAAUGUAUGAGCAGAAGAGGCUCACAAUAUUUAAAAACAUGUUGCAUACAAACACACUAUCACAGGGCUGUAGGGAUGUCUCAAGGAUCACAUACCAAGUCUAUUCAGGUUCAGUGACUUUUUUUCUUUUUCCCUGCCAACAUUUCCAACCCAGCCUGGGUUUCAUGUCCGAGGUGUGGCUGUUUCUUGCCCUCAUGUCAAAGGCUGAGGACCUUCAGCUGAAAAUACUGCAGCACUAUUUCCUGGGCUGAGUGCAAGCAGCUUGUUACCAUCAGGAAGUCUGCACGUGUUAAACAAAUUUCUCGCUCACUUUUGUCAGGUGUGCUUUCCCAGAGCUCAUGACUAACAGCUGUGCAACGAGCACUCCCUGAUCAGAGCAGUCCAACAGAUGUAGGUUAGUUCAUAGACUUCAGUUCCCUGCUCUUCACCCCAGAAGAAAAUUAAAAACAUAGAGAAAAGGAAUCCACCGAAUCUAUCACACAGAUACCUACAGAUUCAUAACCUGGAUAUACAGAUAAAAACCGCAACUACACAUUUAUGGGGCUGCAUCACGGAUUUUUAAUUUACUUGGUAUUAUGAAGUGGUAACUGUUUUGCCAUGAACAUUCACAGUAAGAAAAAGAUGAGUUAGAACAAAGCAAUUACUCAACUAUCUUUUUUCCAAGUAACAUUUAUUAAUAACAUUCUUAAGGUGAUAACUUAAGAGUCAUAAGGAAGGGGGCUGUUGUCAGUAAACAUACAAUAAAAAGGUAGUAAGAUUUUUCUACUAAAGUAUGACUAACAAGGCUUUUAACAGUGUUUAGCUCAACCAAAUUUAAUAUUAAAAACAUUCAAAAUUGCUAGAAGUGUUGCAAUCAGUUCUGUUGAACUUAUAAAACCUCAUUUCAGUAGUCAAUACUAACCUACUAUUUAUAUAAAACUUUAAACUCCAUUCUUAAUUUUUGUAAACAAAGCACCUAAGCAUUUGAAAGGAAAAAGUUAGUUUACACCCCAUUAAACUGCAGCACGUGUGUGAAACCUCAGGCAUGAUCAGGCAUGGAGCAUUAUUAGGCACAGAACAAGACACAGGUUCCACAGCCAGCUGCUGAAUACACUUACAUUGCCAAAGGUCUUUUUUUAUACUAAUUCCAUUAUCAUUUAUAGUUGAAAAUUUAGUAAAUCCUCCAUGCAGAAGAUUUCAAAAGAGACAAAGAAGUCAUAUAACAUAGGUUUGUGAAGCUUCUGAAGGCUGCAUGACUUUGAAUGAGUUAUGACUUCUUUAUCUGCUUCAGAAAUUUUCAGAAACUUCUUCAAAAUCACUGAACUUUGGCAGAUACUGGGCCUGUCAAAGAGCACGACAACACACCAGAAGACACAUUUUCAGUCUGCUAUUGGAACACUGAGGUAUGCUGUAAUUUAUGAAAUGCCAGUCAAAUAAAAACUGAAGAUGACCAUUGCAUUCUGAGGCUGUCAGUUCAAGCUCAAGUCAAGGAGGGGAACUGCUAACAUACAAAACCUGCUUGUAAAUCCUGUUUCCUUAGGGAAGUUGCAAACAAGGUGUUUAUCUUACCCGUAUCAACUGGCACCACAGUCAAUCCCUGUGAAUGGCAACAACUGACAUCCAGACUGUCAGUCUGGCUGCUCCUCCCUCUUGCAAACCAACGUUUAAACUUGAUAUAAAUCACAUAAAGCUGCGAAUGAAUUUGCAGUAAGCCUUUGUUAACUGCCGAUAGAGAUUUACAAUUGCCUUCAUUAGCAUACUGUCACAGUAAAUCUAGCUAAGCCAGAUUUAAUCUGGGUAAGUUUUCCUGAGCCGACACGCCCCAAACUAACUGUAAAUCAUAGAAUCAUAGAAUCAGCCGGGUUGGAAGGGACCUCUGAGAUCAAGUCCAACCCUUGAUCCACCACCGCCGUGGUUACUAGGCCAUGGCACUAAGUGCCACGUCCAGUCUUGUCUUAAAAACCUCCAGGGACAGAGAAUGCACCACUUCCCUGGGCAGCCCAGUCCAAUGUCUGAUUACCCUCUCUGUAAAGAAUUUCUUCCUAAUAUCUUAUGUCCAGAGGUGACCUUCAGACAAACAGGGAGGCACUUGCAUGAGGCACUGCAGGAAAAGUCUUCACUGCCCCUGCCCAGCAUGUGCUUACUCUGUUGUUUUCCCAGGGUUCUUGAACUUGUGCUGGCUAUAGGAAUGACAUUCAUUCAAAGAAUAGGAAAAAUGCUUUAACAGCUACCUGACAUGAGCACUAAGUGAACUCAAUGGUCUCCUGUUGUUGCCUUCUCCAGUUUUCUUUGGUGUGAGGUGUUAGCAUUACAGCUAUACAAAUUUUUUAUGCCUAAUCCCCCUCAAUUUGCAGUUUCCUGAAAAAAGAACAAGUGUCAGACAAACUCAAACUCUUCUAAAUGCAAAUAAUGAUUUAAACUAUUUAUCCUUUUCCAAGUCUUUAAGAGCUAAAACAAAUUAACAUUAAACAAGUUAAACACAUGCAUUGGCUUUAACUAACACAGGCACUACUAGCAUUAUUCAAACCUGGUUUGUCUAUCAAUUUCAAAGAAUUUUCAAAAACAGUUAAAAAAGUAUGGUGCAGAUGCAAAAGGUAAAAAAAAGAAAAAAAAAAAAUCUGUCCUGUUUUCCCCCAUCCCUUUGAAUUGAUCCACAGCCAAAUGAAGACCACAAAUAGAGACCUAGUACAGACCUACUCUUAACCAGUUGAAGAACCAGGCCAGAGUUAACAUUUCACACCACGCCCCAAAACAGCA